UACGUAGGGUGCGAGCGUUGUCCGGAAUUAUUGGGCGUAAAGAGCUCGUAGGCGGUGUGUCACGUCGGCCGUGAAAACCUGCAGCUUAACUGUGGGCGUGCGGUCGAUACGGGCAUCACUGGAGUUCGGCAGGGGAGACUGGAAUUCCUGGUGUAGCGGUGAAAUGCGCAGAUAUCAGGAGGAACACCGGUGGCGAAGGCGGCAUCCUGGACCGAUACUGACGCUGAGGAGCGAAAGCCAGGGGAGCAAACGGG
This 254-nucleotide ribosomal RNA is filed under the name uncultured bacterium. RNAcentral describes it as "partial 16S ribosomal RNA". It matches the Rfam family "Bacterial small subunit ribosomal RNA", at positions 524 to 776 of the family's 1533-position model. The record is from RNAcentral.